RNAcentral lists this ribosomal RNA (29 nucleotides) under Cetrelia braunsiana. Its description in RNAcentral is "partial 18S ribosomal RNA". Lineage: Eukaryota; Fungi; Ascomycota; Lecanoromycetes; Lecanorales; Parmeliaceae. The record is from RNAcentral.
CGUAGGUGACCUGCGGAAGGAUCAUUACC